RNAcentral lists this ribosomal RNA (468 nucleotides) under uncultured bacterium. Its description in RNAcentral is "partial 16S ribosomal RNA". It matches the Rfam family "Bacterial small subunit ribosomal RNA", at positions 28 to 507 of the family's 1533-position model. The record is from RNAcentral.
GACGAACGCUGGCGGCGUGCUUAACACAUGCAAGUCGAACGGAAAGGCCCUGCUUUUGUGGGGUGCUCGAGUGGCGAACGGGUGAGUAACACGUGAGUAACCUGCCCUUGACUUUGGGAUAACUUCAGGAAACUGGGGCUAAUACCGGAUAUGAGCUCCUGCUGCAUGGUGGGGGUUGGUAAGUUUCGGCGGUUGGGGAUGGACUCGCCGCUUAUCAGCUUGUUGGUGUGGUAGUGUCUUACCAAGGCUUUGACGGGUUGCCGGCCUGAGAUGGUGACCGGACCACUUAAGAUUGAGAUACGGCCCGGACUCGAACGGGAGGGGGCAGAGGGGAAUAGUGCACAAUGGGCCGAAGGGAGAUGUAGCAAUGCCGCGUGCGGGGUGAGGGGAUUAGGGUUGUAUACCGCGUUCGCCUGUGACGGAACGUGAGUGACGGUAAUGGGUAAAGAAGCACCGGCUAACUACGUG